Long non-coding RNA from Solanum pennellii, 299 nucleotides. RefSeq lists it as uncharacterized. The record is from RefSeq and is a predicted model, not a curated record. The transcript is spliced from 2 exons. Lineage: Eukaryota; Viridiplantae; Streptophyta; Magnoliopsida; Solanales; Solanaceae.
UAUUGAUCCAAUUUUGUUCUGAUUUGUUCUUUCUGCUUCUCUUCUCUCUGCAAAAUUGAUGCAAUCUUUUACCCUAUAUUGGUUCUCCUUUUGCGUUGGUUACACCUGUUGACCAAAUUCAGAUAUCGACAAGAAAAUUUGUUAUCGAUCCAUGUGUGCUAGAGGGCUAAACAGAUUCGACAGGGACCAAAUAACACAUUUUGUGAUGUUUGUGAAUUGAUUAUUUGAGUUUUUUGUUUUACAUAUGGUUAGUUAUCCUUGUGAAUAUAAAGGUAAUAAAAUGUUCCUUUAUAGUUGAA